AUGAUGAUAAAAAGUAAAAUUUAUGGUUAGAAACAAAUGAUAAACCGUGAUUUAAACCCAACUAGGGCGAUCUGAUUUA
Molecule: small nucleolar RNA, 79 nt
Organism: Eupeodes corollae
Lineage: Eukaryota; Metazoa; Arthropoda; Insecta; Diptera; Syrphidae
Product: small nucleolar RNA U43
Exons: 1
Source: RefSeq, a predicted model, not a curated record